Molecule: ribosomal RNA, 855 nt
Filed under: uncultured bacterium
Lineage: Bacteria
Description: bacterial SSU rRNA
Rfam family: Bacterial small subunit ribosomal RNA
Source: RNAcentral
UGGCGGCGUGCCUAACACAUGCAAGUCGAGCGGUAACAGGUGUAGCAAUACAUGCUGACGAGCGGCGGACGGGUGAGUAACGCUUGGGAAUCUGCCUAUUAGUGGGGGAUAACUCGGGGAAACUCGAGCUAAUACCGCAUACGCACUACGGUGGAAAGCUGGGGACCGCAAGGCCUGGCGCUAAUAGAUGAGCCCAAGUCGGAUUAGCUAGUUGGUAGGGUAAUGGCCUACCAAGGCGACGAUCCGUAACUGGUCUGAGAGGACGACCAGUCACACCGGAACUGAGACACGGUCCGGACUCCUACGGGAGGCAGCAGUGGGGAAUAUUGGACAAUGGGCGAAAGCCUGAUCCAGCGACGCCGCGUGGGUGAAGAAGGCCUGCGGGUUGUAAAGCCCUUUCAGUGGGGAAGAAAAGCCUCGAGUGAAUACCUCGGGGUCUUGACGUAACCCAUAGAAGAAGCACCGGCUAACUCUGUGCCAGCAGCCGCGGUAAUACAGAGGGUGCGAGCGUUAAUCGGAAUUACUGGGCGUAAAGCGCGCGUAGGCGGCUUUGCAAGUCGGAUGUGAAAUCCCCGGGCUCAACCUGGGAACUGCAUUCGAGACUGCAUUGCUAGAGUAUGGGAGAGGGAAGUGGAAUUUCAGGUGUAGCGGUGAAAUGCGUAGAUAUCUGAAGGAACAUCAGUGGCGAAAGCGACUUCCUGGACCAAUACUGACGCUCAUGUGCGAAAGCGUGGGGAGCAAACAGGAUUAGAUACCCUGGUAGUCCACGCCAUAAACGAUGAGAACUGGAUGUCGGGAGGGUUCUGCCUCUCGGUGUCGUAGCUAACGCGUUAAGUUCUCCGCCUGGGGAGUACG